RNAcentral lists this ribosomal RNA (985 nucleotides) under uncultured bacterium. RNAcentral's name for it is "bacterial SSU rRNA". It matches the Rfam family "Bacterial small subunit ribosomal RNA", at positions 11 to 984 of the family's 1533-position model. The record is from RNAcentral.
GUUUGAUCCUGGCUCAGAGUGAACACUGGCGGCAGGCCUAACACAUGCAAGUCGAACGGCAGCACAGGAGAGCUUGCUCUCUGGGUGGCGAGUGGCGGACGGGUGAGGAAUGCGUCGGAAUCUGCCUAUUCGUGGGGGAUAACGUAGGGAAACUUACGCUAAUACCGCAUACGACCUACGGGUGAAAGUGGGGGACCUUCGGGCCUCACGCGGAUAGAUGAGCCGACGCCGGAUUAGCUAGUUGGCGGGGUAAAGGCCCACCAAGGCGACGAUCCGUAGCUGGUCUGAGAGGAUGAUCAGCCACACUGGGACUGAGACACGGCCCAGACUCCUACGGGAGGCAGCAGUGGGGAAUAUUGGACAAUGGGCGCAAGCCUGAUCCAGCCAUGCCGCGUGUGUGAAGAAGGCCUUCGGGUUGUAAAGCACUCUUGUUGGGGAAGAAACAGCGCAGGUUAAUAACCGGCGUGAAUGACGGUACCCAAAGAAUAAGCACCGGCUAACUUCGUGCCAGCAGCCGCGGUAAUACGAAGGGUGCAAGCGUUACUCGGAAUUACUGGGCGUAAAGCGUGCGUAGGCGGUUUGUUAAGUCUGAUGUGAAAGCCCCGGGCUCAACCUGGGAAUGGCAUUGGAUACUGGCAGGCUAGAAUGUGGUAGAGGGUGGUGGAAUUCCCGGUGUAGCGGUGAAAUGCGUAGAGAUCGGGAGGAACAUCCGUGGCGAAGGCGGCCACCUGGACCAACAUUGACGCUGAGGCACGAAAGCGUGGGGAGCAAACAGGAUUAGAUACCCUGUAGUCCACGCCCUAAACGAUGCGAACUGGAUGUUGGGCACACUUAGGUGCUCAGUGUCGAAGCUAACGCGUUAAGUUUCGCCGCCUGGGGAGUACGGUCGCAAGACUGAAACUCAAAGGGAAUUGACGGGGGCCCGCACAAGCGGUGAGUAUGUGGUUUAAUUCGAUGCAACGCGAAGAACCUUACCUGGUCUUGA